UUAAUUUUAAUAAUCCAUUUGUAUUGCUAAAUUGGUGUUAUUAUUUAAAAAAAAAAAUCAUUCUAUAGUAUAGAACUAGUAAAGUUAGUGAUUUUUAUAUUUAGUUUUUAGUAUAUUUAUCAAUAGAUUAUAUAGUAUAAUGGUUAAGUGGAAUGAUGUGUGGUUGGAAAAGUUAGAUAAAAAUCUAGUGAAAAUCUAAUUAUGGGCUAAAAAAAGAAACUCUGAAUACGCUAUCUGUAAACUAUGCAAAAGUGAUUUAAAAUUCAGUUUAGUUGGUUUCCAAGCACUAUAUCAGCAUUCUUCAAAACCUAAACAUAAGUCAGUGUCUGAUCUAAGAUUUUCAAAAACUGCUUGUCAUUUAUAUGUAGAUUCUAACAAAAACUCGAUUGGGGGAGAAAACGUUAUACAAUUAGAGUUCUCUAUAAAUGAAUAAAUUUCUGCUGCAGAAGCCAUGUGGCUUUUUAAAGUGGCAGAUAAUGAUCUUGCCUUAAGACAUUGUGACAACACACCAAUAUUGUUCCAAAGAAUGUUUCCAGAUAGUAAAAUAAGUCAAUGUUUUACUAUGAGUCGGCAAAAAGCUUCAUAUAUUUUGCAAGAAGGCCUUGGGCCAUUGUUGGAAAAGCGUUUAGUAAUAGUAUCGCGUUAAGUCAAGAUGCAUUCACUUUAAUGUUUGAUGAAACAACUACUUCACAACAAAGAAAACAAAUGGAUCUUUUAUGUCGUUUUUGGUCAGAAGACGAAAACCAAGUUGUUACAAAAUAUUUAACAUCGCUGUUCUUUGGCAGAGCAACAGCAGAAGAUGUCAAAACAAUGCUAGCAGAUUUAUGUCAUAAUGAAAGGUUUUAUUUACCAUGGGAUCGUCUUUUUAAUAUUUCAGCAGAUGGUCUUAAUAUUAACAAAGCCAUUUGGAGAUUGUUAAAUGCUGAUCUUCAUAGUAAUGGUUUUAAUGGCUUGUUACCAUUUGUAAGUUGCACUUUGCACACAGUGCAUAAUGCUUUUUGAAAAGCAAUUAAUGUUGUCGGUGAGGAUGCUGAGCAGCUUGCAUUUGGUUUACAUAACUGGUUCAAGGUGAACAAAAUAUCAUGUGAAAAAAAAAGAUUUGUCUUCUUACAGCAAAUGAGAGAUGGAUAUAUAUCUGUUGUAAAACACUUGCAAAAAAAACUUCCACUUGAUUUGCAGAUAUUAAAAGAUAUAACUUGUUUGGGUGCUCAAAUGAGAUCAGAACCUUGGACUGUUAAUGCAAUUGGGCGAAUAGCAGUUAGGAUGCCACAUGUAAUUACGGAAAGGGAGGUAUCAUUUGUGAAAGAUGAUAAUUAUACCAAGAUGGAAAUUAUAGAUGGAAAAUAUACCAAGCAGCUAAUUUAUCAAAAGACUGG
This is a long non-coding RNA of Hydra vulgaris (swiftwater hydra), 1376 nucleotides long. RefSeq lists it as uncharacterized. NCBI's taxonomy places the organism in Eukaryota, Metazoa, Cnidaria, Hydrozoa, Anthoathecata, Hydridae. The record is from RefSeq and is a predicted model, not a curated record.